Molecule: transfer RNA, 76 nt
Filed under: Perkinsus olseni
Lineage: Eukaryota; Perkinsozoa; Perkinsida; Perkinsidae
Description: tRNA-Arg
Source: RNAcentral
GCAUUGCUCAACGCCCAAUGGACAAGUCGCCACCCUCCUAAGAUGGAGAUUCCGGGUUCGAUCCCCGGGUAGGGUA